UCAAAAUAUACACCGACCUAAUUUAACAUAUAGUAGCCCAUCCCCAACCAAUACAUCAGCAUACCCACUUAAUUCUGAAAGACCCUAAGCGCGUAUACAGAGACAUGUACAUCCCCAACACAUAACGUAUCCUCCAAAAGACCCCGUACUCAUCUCCUUCUUCCUUAAGGAACCAAAGGCCCAGAACAAACCCAAAUGAUGCUGCUCGGUACAUCAUCUAGGCUAGCAAAAUCUUCAAAAAUCGUCCAAGUAUCUUAAUCUCAUCAUUGGUUUGUCCUUCUUCAAGUUCAAACGACUCUCAUUCUCAAGCCUGUGAGAAUUUGUUCACGAUUGUACAAAUUAUAGUGGUUUGACCUUAUCUCGAGAUUUUCCAGCGAAAUUUGAAUUUGAACCCCUAAUCCUAUCUGAUUUCCCCUCUCUAUUUCCCCCCAAAUCCUUUCCUAUAUAAACUCAUCUCUUCUUCAUUGAUAAGGGGGGGUCUGAAUACACAAAUUUCAUGAUAAAAACAUAGAUUUUUGAGAGCUAAGAGAGUUCCGAAGCAUUAUGAUUUCUUUAGAAAAGAGUUCUUUUCUUUCUUCGACUGCCUGAAUAUUCUUCGGAAACUGACGUAUUUCAAUCUUGGUGUGGAAUAGAUCACUUCAACUCGUCAUCCUAGUUCAUUUCACCUGAAAAGAAAAUUCAAGAACAAGAAAGAAGAGAAGAGAAGAAACUAGAGAGGGAGAGAGCCACGGUUUUGGAAGGAAACAAAAGCCCAAAACGUUAACAAACAGCCAUGAAAUUUUAGGCGUGCUAAAGGAACUUCCGAGGCAAGUUUCGAUGAGUUUGACGAGUUUCAGGCAAGGGAGAAUGCAUCAGCAUGGUUGGAAUUCACAUAUGAAGUUUCGUUGGAGUGUGGUAGUAUUCUGAGACCAUUUGGAUGGAAAAAGCUCUGGUUCCUUGAGUUGGAGCGCAUACGAUCAGCCUACAGGUCUGUGUACUAGCUAUCAACAUUGAUUUCAAGCAAGUUGCAGUCGUAAUCAGAGAUAAGGAUGAGCACACAGCGUUCUAGAUUUACCCAUCUCCCUCUGUAUAUAUAUAUUUUUUCUGUCUUUUGCUCUUUGAGAUAAUCUUGUUUCUGUGGUCCACUUUUGGGACUUGUACUCAUUUCGUAGUAGCUCUGUAUAUGUGACUUCCAGGUUUUGGGAGUAAUCUAUUGGUUUGUAUAUAUUUUGAUUUGCUU
Molecule: long non-coding RNA, 1219 nt
Organism: Solanum dulcamara
Lineage: Eukaryota; Viridiplantae; Streptophyta; Magnoliopsida; Solanales; Solanaceae
Exons: 6
Source: RefSeq, a predicted model, not a curated record